AUUCGUUUUCUUAUUUUAACUUAUUGUUAAAAAAUAUAUUUUUUCAUUAUUUUAUUUUAUGGUUAUUUUCAAGAGAAGGCAGAGACACCAACAAAAAGCUUUGAAGUUAAUAAUAGUGAAGAGGAGGCAGAUAAUUAUAAAAAUCUUUGCAUCUAAAGACAGUGAAGAAUCGAGUCAAAGUACUGUAGCCAGCUGGGCUACGCUCACUGGAUGAAUUGCAAAUUAAAACUGAUUUAAUACAAAGACGGCAUAAGUUUGCUGAAAGUUAUACAAAUGGAGAAGUAUUGGUGCGUUUCUUUCCACAUGUAGAAGUUAAUGCAUAUAGAAAGAGAGAUAAAGGAGGUCAGAAAAGUUGGCAGAAUAGUUUGUGUCGCAUUUGUGGAAGCGAAAUUGGUCAAAAAACUAGAAAAAAUCAAAAAAAAGUUAAAUGGAUCAAAUGUGAUAUUUGCAUCCAAAUUGAUGGUACCGUAUAAGAUGCAUUGUUUUUAAAAAUGAAACUUUAUUUUGUUGUGAACAUAUUUAUAUAUAAAUGUAAUAAUAAAUAAAACUUUAAAAAUUGC
Hydra vulgaris (swiftwater hydra) is the source of this 560-nucleotide long non-coding RNA. RefSeq lists it as uncharacterized. NCBI's taxonomy places the organism in Eukaryota, Metazoa, Cnidaria, Hydrozoa, Anthoathecata, Hydridae. The record is from RefSeq and is a predicted model, not a curated record.